AUACGUAGGGUGCUAGAGUUGUCCGGAUUUACUGGGUGUAAAGGGUGCUCAGGUGGGUUUGUAAGUCAGAGGUGAAAUCCCAAAGCUUAACUUUGGAGCUGCCUUUGAUACUGCAAGUCUGGAGUUUGAGAGAGGGCAAUGGAAUAUCUGGUGUAGCAGUGAAAUGCGUAGAUAUCAGAUAGAACACCAAUGGCGAAGGCAGUUGCCUGGCUCAAAACUGACGCUAAAGCACGAAAGUGUGGGGAGCAAACAGGAUUAGAUACCCUGGUAGUCCACACCCUAAACGAUGAAUACUAGAUGUUGGUCCUUUUUAGGAUCAGUAUCCAAGCUAACGCAUUAAGUAUUCCACCUGGGAAGUACAAUCGCAAGGUUGAA
Molecule: ribosomal RNA, 375 nt
Filed under: uncultured bacterium
Lineage: Bacteria
Description: bacterial SSU rRNA
Rfam family: Bacterial small subunit ribosomal RNA
Source: RNAcentral